UAUGUAUAUAUGUGUGUAGAGCGAGGCUACUAUACUCUUAUGAGUAUAGAGCCCUUCAUACUCAUAAGUUAUUUUCAAUGAUGAAGCUAAUCGACGAUCCACACUGUUAAAUAUGAUCUAGAUUAUUUGAAACUUCUAGAAAAUGAAUUUCGUAAUUUUUCAAAAUUAUAAUAAAGUCCAUCAAACGGGCAUAAAAUGAACGGUCAAAAUUGAACGAUUUUCUAAAAAUGGGUAAUUAGAUACUUCAAUUUAAGAUCGGAAUUAUUGAUCUUUAUCUAGAUAGUCAAUAGAAUUUUCUAUCAAAAAUUCAAUCCAUUUAAAUUCUUUUACGCCGUUAAACUAGCAAGUAUUUCAUAUCGGCUGUUUAAAACUGUCAAUUUUGAGAUCUUUUGAUUGUAAGGUAAAUGAUAUCAAAAAAUUACGAAAUUUGAUUUCUAAAAGUCUUACAUGCUCUAAAUAAUAUUUAAUGGUAUGGAUCGUCGAUUCGAAAGCUUUAUCAUUGAAAACGACUUAUAAUUACAAAGGGCUCAAUACUCAUAAGAAUAUAGUAGCCGGACUCCUGUGCGUAUGUGUGUGUGUGUGUGUACAUGCACUUCCUACAAUGAGGUCAGCAAAGAAAAAAGUUCAUGAUGGAUGAAAAUAAACAAUAGUUGAACUUCAACAAGCAAAGGUCAAUCAAAGAAACUAUUCAUGCCAUCAAGCUGAGGAAAUUACUUUUAUGCAAGAAAAAAGCAGAACAUAACGUGCAAGUUAUACCCCUUUGAUCCACAGUGCAGUUUCAUAAUCCGUGUGUUAUACUUGAAAUCCAUCCCAAUAGCUCUCGGAACAUUCUUAUUAGUAUAGUUAUGUGGGAAAAUACUAAGAAUUUUUUGAACUAAUAUUUUUUUUUUGUUUAUUUCUGUACCAAAACUGCUCAUUUAUACGACAUAAAAGUUCAAGUUCAAGGCUAACUAACAGAAGUAUGUUUUCAGAAGCAUCUCAAUUGUUAAGCCAAUUCGAGAAUGCUACAAAAUCAUCCAAUCCUUUUGCACACUAUUACCGGUAAGAAAAAUAUGAAAAUUCAUUGUGUGCUUCAAUGGGCCAGACACAUCUCCAAAAAUGGCCUUAAAUAAAGAAGUACAUGAUUUAGCAGAUCAAUCUGAUCCCAAUCUUUAAGACCACCGAAGUUUAAUCCUGACUCUGCUCACAUAAAUGUUAGAAAGUUGAAUUGGGGCCCUGUUUUUUUUUUUUAUAAAGGUUGAAGAAUAACGUAGCUUGGACUAUGAUUGGGUUUAAGUCAUAAGGCAUCUUUUUUUUUUAGAGAGAAGGGUAGCAAGCUACCAAUUUCAUUCAUUUUUUUAGAAAUAAACUCAACUAGAAAUAUAAAGCAACUGGGGUUCAAAUUUGCGACCUCGAGUACCAACCAUCAACCCGUGAGCCGACCACACAACACAUGGUUGGCCAUAAGGCAACUUUUCAAUCUUGGAGGGCAUCUACAGUUAAUGCUAAAUGCUAUAAGAUCAUAGGAAAGGUCAUACAAGUUUCCACUCCACAUCAUUAUCACAUAAAUGAAGGUAACAAAAAGACAUGACUUCUUGAGGCAAUCUUGGCAAAUAAAAUCCUGAGUGCAGGGAAUCGAUUGAACCAGACAAAAUUAGACCCUUUUCCAAAAGUCAAGUGCAUACAAUUAUGAGCCCCAACAAAUUCCUUUGGAUGCCUUAGAAACAGAGAAUCAAAAUCUCACUAAGCCUACCAUGUUUCCACACUAUGAUGAUCAAACACAGAGGCAUCGCAAAGAGGACAUUUUCGUCUAAAAUGGCAUGAGAUAUGUCGGUUCGUUCUCUAAACAGUAACUACAAGCCAACGUUACAGAAACUUGGAAAGCUCUAAUCCACACUUCCUCAAACCAAAAGGACCAACAUAAUAACGGUAUGAGAGCCAUGGUUCAAAAAAGACGGUACUAUAAAAUAGUGAAUCAAUAAAUCUUGUUGGUACUUCUCAAAGCAAACAGUGAUUACAAUAAUUGAGAGCAUGAGAAUUACAGCCAACUUACAAAACCAAAAAUCCUAAGCCCAACUCCUGCAAUAAAUACCCUAACACCUUUCUCAUGAUUGUUAGAAAUUUACACAUUAAUUAAUAGAUAUUAAUAGGCCCAAACCAAAUAAGUUUAUGCAUUCAGAGACAUGUCACAUCCUUAGAUUUAUUUGGAUCUAUCCUGUGUCGAAACUCCCUACCAAUGAAUUAAGAGGACUUCUCAUCAAAUGCCAAUAGAGAUAUCUAUAUAGAUACCAAAAAGCAAAUUGAUGUGCUUAAUUCUCUUAAAUCCAAUACGAAAUCAACAACAUUUAUAAUCACUACUAUGAAGUAGAAGAACCCAAAUCUAGCUAAAAAUAUGAAAUCUCCAAAUAUUUCCUUAAUUAUACCCUAAUAUUUCACCCUCGGAUCAAAGAUCGAAUUAUUCCUACAUGAAGUGUGGAUUGAAAAAGAACGAAACAACAAAAAACAAACAAACAAAAUAAAAAUAAAAAAUCGGUGGCAUACAUGUAGAGAGGAUCAGCUUCGCCCUCGCUAGCGCGAAUGGCUCCGAAGGCGCAUCCGAGAACGAAGAGAAGCAACAGCGAGCGCUCCCCCAUGGCGUUCAAAUGCGGAGAUGCUCCUCUCUACGAUGAGAUGAAAUCCAUUACCGGAGCGAGAACCCUAAUCGAAAUCGCCGCGAAGAGGAGGGAGACGAAGAGAAGAUCGAGGGGAGAGCUCGUUAAGGGUUUUUAGAGAUUUGGGGGAUUACUGAGUGAGGGGGGAGACUCGAUGAGAAUGAAGAGGAUGGGGCAUAUCGACAGGACCUUGUAUAAUAAGAAAGAACUGAAAAAUAUAUGAAGACCCCCUCAACUACAAAAUAUUUGGAAAUGAGACCUUCAACUUUCCUACCUGUAUACACGAAAAGUGAAUACAAAUUUUGGCUAAUAUUUUAUAAUUAUCUUAUCAACUUUAUUUUUUCUAAAUAAUUAAAAAUUUUUAGAAAUUUAUUUAGGAUGUAAAAUGUAUAUCAACUUUUUACGCAUAGAGAUAGUAUUUUCUUUAUUUUGUUGACACUUUUUUAUCUUUCAUAUUUUGAAGAUUAAUUUUUUCAUUAUAAUUAAUUAAGAUAAAGUUUUUUGUUGAUUUUGUGAUUUAAUUAGUUAUUACUAGCUAAUCAAUCUAGUUUUAUUUGUCACAAAGUUAUUUAAACUAUUAAAUUUGGAUUAAAUUGGUAGAAAUUUUAAAUUAUUUGGCUAAAAUUGCUUAAUCUUUUAAAAAAUGAAUUUAAUAUUGUUUAGGGGGGUCUCCACAUAUUUCCUACCAAUAUUUCUUUUUUGAACUAUAACAUACAUUCCAUUUUAAAUCCAAUCCGUUAAAAAUAUAUAUAUAUUAUAUUUUAAUCUUAUUUAAAAUAUGUUGAAAUUAAAUAGGUAUUUUUCAUAUUAAUAAAAAGGUCGCAUUGAAACUAUUUUUUAUGGUAAAAAACUAAAACAUAAUAUGCGCAAAAACUUAUAAAAAUAAAAUAUUCACAUGGCUAGCACUCUCACUCUCCCCGAGUUUAAGUUUCACGAGCGUAGAAGUUAGUUCAAAAAAAUAAUUUUUACGUAGUUGUAAUAUCAACAUAUGUUAGGGACUAUUCAUAAAUUUUACCCUGCCUCCGUUUUGGUCCUUUUUGUUAAGAAAAAAUUUCCUUUACUUUUUAUUUUUUGGCUCCAUUAUUUAGAACCGCGAGACGCGUGGAGAGUUAUUUAUUGUAUUUUAUUUACUUAUUUAUUUAUUUAUUCCGAUUUAAAUGUUUUAUUAAAGUGCACGCACUUUCACCGACACCCACUUCUGAGCCUUUAAUAAUGUCAGAGAGUGUUGUUAGUGUUAGUACUACUCAGUAUUUUUGUGUGGUAAGAGAUGUGCUUUUUAUUAAUUAAAUAUUUAUAUAAUAUUAUUAAAUAAUAUAUAUAUAUAUAUAUAUAUAUAUAUAUAUAUAUAUAUAUAUAUAUAUAUAUAUAUAUUAGUGUUAGGAGUUUUAUGAUUUUAGAAUUGCUGCUCGAUUUAAGGGUUAUUUACGGGAGUACCCUCCCCAGUUCCCGGGACCACAAGAGAUAUUUAAUUGUAUCUCAAGUACACCAACGUAAACGGCCAGUGGUUGCGUGGACCCGGUGCACCACAUCAACAAUGUGUAAAUUAUAAAUAUCCCGGACGCUUGGGUUCUCGUUUUAAUUAUUUUCUUACAUAACACUUUGCUUCGGGCUAAACUCUACACUUCGUAAUUACGUCAAAUAAGCAAAAAAAUUUUUAUGGUUGCUAAAUUUGGGUGUAAAACUAUAUGAAAAUUAUCACGUGAAUCAAAUAAAAUAGUCUAUAAAUGGUCAAAAAAUUUGUUUUGUUGAAUUUAGAUCAUUAUAUAGCUUAUAAUUUAAUGUGGCAUGUUAAAUUAUUCCAAUAGACGAUGACAUUCAAUNUUCGACAUAGUUUACUUUAUGAUCAAAUUAUUUCAAAAUUGUCAAUUUUUAAUGACUACUAUGGCGAAUUUGGAGUUCAACGGUGUAGAAGAAUCUAAAUUUUUUUUCAAAUUUUGAUAGAAAAUACUUUAAACUAUCUAGAUUAAGGUUAAUAUUUUUUGAUCUUGAAUUUAAAAGUCAUAUACUCAAAUUUUAAAGAUUAUUCAAUUUUCACCAUCCAUUUUGACAUAAUUUAUUUACUAAGUAAACGAUGUCGAAAAAAAUUAAAAUUUUAUUCCUAAGAACUUCAUAUACCCUAGAUCAUAUUUAACGGUGUGGAUCGUUAAUUUGAAUACCUUAAAAUCGAAAAAAAGACUAUAGUACCGGAGCUCCGGUACCAUAGAUAGCAUAGUAGCUUAAUUAUAUAUAUAUAUAUAUAUAUAUAUUAGUGUUUAGAGUUUUAUGAUUUUAGAAAUUGGUGCUCGAUUUAAGGGUUAUUUACGGGAGUACCCUCCCCAGUUCCCGGGACCACAAGAGAUAUUUAAUUGUAUCUCAAGUACACCAUCUUAAACGGCCAGUGGUUGCAUGGACCCGGUGCACCACAUCAACAAUGUGUAAAUUAUAAAUACCCCGGACGCUUUGGUUCUCGUUUUAAUUAUUUUCUUACAUAACAUUUUGCUUCAGGCUAAACUCUACACUUCGUAAUUAAUUCAAAUAAGCAAAAAAUUUUUAUGGUCGCUAAAUUUGGGUGUAAAACUAUAUGAAAAUUAUCACGUGAAUCAAGUAAAAUAGUCUAUAAAUGGUCAAAAAAUUUGUUUUAUUGAACUUAGAUCAUUAUAUAGCUUAUAAUUUAAUAUGGUAUGUUAAAUUAUUCCAAUAGACGAUGACAUUCAAUAGUCCCAUAUCGAAUGAAAAUAAAAUUUUAAUUAAUUAUAUAAGAGACUAUAUAUCCUACUAAUAAUAGCUGAAUUUAAUAAUUUAAGACCCAUGGUUAGUCCCCAAAUAAGUUAUUAUUGUUACUGGAUAUCGUCUGAAAUUUAAUAAUCGUUUCAAAUAUUCAGAUUUGUUUGAAAUAGUGGUAAACUUCAAAGUUCAAAUCAAAAGUAAUUGAGAUGCUUAAAGUACAAGAUAGGGCUAUGUAAUUCCGAAAAUUUUAUUAUAUAUUUCUAAACUAUCUAUUUAAAGAAAAAUAAGUAAUAAAUACGAUAAUAUUGUAUUAUAUCAUUAUGCUUAGAAGUAUAUUUAAAAUUUUUUGAAUAGUUUAUUUUGUAAAUUUUUUACUGUUUUCAAUGAGUAUAUAUUAACCAAUUUAUUAUAAUAUAUUAUAAUAUAUAUAUAUANAAUAUAAUAUAAUAUAAUAUAUAUAUAUAUAUAAUAUUAUAUAAUAUUUUUUAAAAAUAAAUUAAAUUAUUUGGUUUAUUCUGUGAAUCCAAUGGGAACCUUAGAAGCUCGGUUUACGGCGAACCGGGUUCAGCGCACAAUUGCUCGGCGCGAAAAAGGGACGCGUGGAUAGCGGCUUUAAAGUGGGGCCCACCGAGGACACGUGGCAUAAAAGAGCAACGUGUGGUGGGACCCAUCUAAGCACAUGGCCUUUUGAAGUACCGGUAAUGAUAUAUCGUAUUUGUGAAACGCGUGAGUGGUAGUUGUUCCGUGAAAAUACUUCGACAACGAUAUGUAACUUUUGCGGGAAAAAGUUACAUGUAACCCCGUGCCCACUAAAUUUUAAAAAUAAUUAAUUAGCUAUAAUAAUGUUAAAAUAUACUGUAAUUAAUCAAAAUUUUAUUUAUUUAUAAAUUAUUGAUAGUUGUAUUUGCUAUUUAUUAUUGAGUUAAAAUAUGUCUAACAUUUUGUUUUAUAGUGCGGCUCACAAAAGAUCUAACGGCAAAAGACCUAACUAUAUUGAAUCAGGUUGAAACCAUAAAGCAUUAUGGUUGAGCCCUUAAGUGCAAUGGCUGCACCUUUUCUAUCAGCGCGUCUUUUUGAGAUAAUUGGUUAGCGUUUACGAUCCACAAAUUGCUCGAACUUCUAAAAUUUUAUAAUUAUUGUACAAUAUUUUGUGAGAAUUUAUAAUUGAUCAAAUUCAUAUUUUAUCAAGUUAAACUGAUUAAAAUUACUCAUUAAUCAAAAAAAAAGUAAAGAAUAAUACAUGCUACCAAUUUAGAUGAGUCAUUUAAAUGUCAAAAUUUUUUUGGUGAAUAAAAUUAGUCAUAAUUAUCCUAUUUCAUUUGUAAAACUCAAAUGCUAAAAUCUACAAAUUUAGAUGAGUCCUCUCAAUGUCAAAAAUUAUUUUGGUGGAUAAAAUUAGCCAUAAUUGGUCAAUUUAAAUUAAAAUUAGCCUCUCAAUUAAAAUUAUUUUUAAUUUGUAGAGCUCAAAUACUAAUAUCUAGUUUUAUGCUGUAAAACUGAAUUUUGACGUCAAAAUAAUUCUUUCGAAUUGCCAGCAUAUACUUUUUAUUAUUUUUUUAUCAUUUGGCUAAAAUUAGUCAAUCGAAAUUAUAUAAAUGUAAAUUUUGAUUCUCAGCUGCAAAACUUUGAAAAUUUACAUGAAAAAUAUAGAAUUUUGAAAGCUUGAGUCGCUACUUGAACAAGCAAGAGUUUGGAUUACUGUAAAUAAUAUUGUUAAUCUCCAAAUUUUUAACAAAAUCUUAUUUUAAUUAACCGUUGAAUUCCAAUUUGUUAUAUUAUUUAAAUUGGUUUAAGUGUAUAGAUGGUGUUUUUCGUUUCCAAAUUAUUAGUAUUCUACCUUAUAUUAUUUGCGGAGAUUAUUUUAAUUAUUACAUUAGAAAUCACAUGGCCUUGAAACAAUAAAUUAACAGUCAUGGUCACCUUUAAAAAGUAAUAUAAUAAUUAUGUUUAGCUAUUUCGUUGUCACUUUAAUUAAAAAUUAUAUAAAUUUUUAUAAGAGAACUUGAUAAUAAUAAAAAGCUAAAUUUAGGCCUCCUAAGGUAUUAUUAUUCAUUUUUAUUUUUAUAUAUAUAUUUUUUAUAUGAAAUAAUAUAUUAGAAAAUGACAGUUUGCUUUUAUUCCUGAUAUUUAUGAUAUUUAUUUGACAAUAAAAAAAUGUGGACGUACAUAACUUUUCUCUACUUCUAUUUUUUAAGCAAAUUUUUAUUCAUUACUUGCCCGGAUUUAUUGCGAACUAACAAACCGUGAAGAGAAGAUAGAAUUUCUUUUGUUAAUAUAUCAAAGUGUAUAAAAUUAGAAUUUUAAAAAAGGUAAACUUUAAUUUUCUUUCGUGUGAUUUAGCUAAUUUUUACUUUACCACUAUGUGAUUUAAAAAAAUAUGACUAUCUCGUUGUUUUAUUUUUAUUUUAUCAAAAAAAAAAAUACUACCAAAUAGGAGAAUAAAAUGAUUUUUUUUUAAAAAAAACUAGAUGAUAGUUAAAAAUCUCGAAGUCCAUUCAAAGCUGAAGUGUUUGAAUCUUUCAGUAAAAGUCCAUAGCUUCGUAAUUAUUGUUCGAGCUUUAGAUGUUAGCGAAUCUGAAUGAUAACUCUUGAGGUGUUAAGCUUUAAUGAUGAAGGCUGAAUCUGAGAAGAUAUGAAAAAUUUUUUCAGAAUACAUUUGCAAAAGAAGCUCUAUCGGUGGGGAGAUUGCUCUAAUUUUCGUGAAGCAAGUAUCGUGGACUACCUGUAUUGUGUCAAAUAUGCACGCUAUGGUUCCAUGUUGAUUAGUAAUCAGGCAUCGUGGAUUUUCAGAUCAGAGUUGGGUCCUGGAUGCUGAUUCUUGUCAUGUUCUAGUUGGAAUAUAAGGCCAUCCAACUGCGAGCCCUUGAAAUGAUAUUAAUGAUUAAGAAAUUCUUCCUCUCAAAAAUCACUUUAUACUGACUAUGGCCCUGUUUGGCUUAGCUUCUGAAAAAGUGAUUUCUGAAAAAGUGAUUUUAGUUUGGAAAAGUGAUUUCUGUUAAAAGCUGUAGAGCGUUUGGCUGAGUCUGAUAGAAAAGUGAUUAUGCUGAAGUGAUUUUAGAAAGCUGUUUGGCAAAUUUUUUUACUGAAGUGAUUUUGUAAUGUUAUUUAACAUUAGUUUUUUUUAUAGACACAAUACAGUAAUUCAAAUCCUCAACCUUAAUUUAGUUUCAGAAAAUCCAUAUAUUAAUCUUGUGGAGAACCCUAUAAUGCCAUUGUUGUUCUUUUUUUAACUUAAAGAUCAUGCUCAUUUCUGAUAAUUAACAUGCCUGCUAAAGGUAGAGAUCAUGUAUUCGAUUCUUCAUAAUUUUUGGGAUAUUUUGGAAACUAUUAUGAGGGAUUAAACUUUUCACAAGCUUCAUGUGAGAUGGACCCAUCGGCGCUGAUCCGGCCAAGUCGGCGGGAUCCAUCUUUGCCGGAUCUUGCCGGCGUGAUCCAUGCCCAGAUCCGGCUCAAAGGCGGAUCCGAGGCUGGAUCCGGCAAAGCCGGAGCUCGCCAGCGCGGAUCCGGCCAAGCCGGCGGGAUCCGUCUUUGCCGGAUCACGCCGACGCGGAUCUGGGGCCGGAUCUGGGGCCGGGCGCGGAUUAAGGAGAGAAAUCAAGAGAGAGAGGGAGAUAAAUCCACAUGAAAAAAAAAACUCUUCUUGGAAAAAAAAAAGGGAGUAUCUUGGAGGGUUGCCGGAGAAAAAACUCGCCGGUAGAAAAGGCGUCGCCGGAGAGGAUAAAGGGAGAGAGAUGAAGAAGACAGGAGAGGAGAGUGAUUAGAUAAAGAAGAGAGGAGAGGAGAGUGUUUUUUUUUUUUUUUGGGGGAGUGAGUGGUUGGCUGUGAGUAAUGGGAGAGUAAUGGGAGAGAUAUUAUUAAUUAUAAAAGGAUAUAAUAGAAUUGUACUGUUUGUUUAAGGGUAAUUUCGGUAUUUUAGUAAAAAAAAUUUAAGUGGGGAAACAGCUUGUGCGGGAAUUUGUUUUGAAAAGCAGAUUUUUUCAGCUUCUGCUUUUGGGAGAAGCAGAAUCAGUUUUUAGCUUUUAGAAAGCAGAAUCAGAUUUUUCAAAUACCUUACCAAACACUCUAGCUUGGCCUAAAAAUGAUUUUCAGCUGAAAAUCACUUUGGAAUAGCUUGGCCAAACAGGGCCUAUGUCUAGUGCAAGUGGCAAAGGAUUGAUCCUUGGUACCUAAGGUCUCUGGUUCGAAGUAUAAUUGUUUCACAUUUCUAGCUAAGUUUUUUUUUUAAAAAAAAAUAAUAAAUGAAGCGAGUAGCAUGCUACCUUUCUUAAAAAAAAAAAAAAUCAUUUCAUUCCUACCCUUCCACAAGCUCCAUAACAGAUGAAUGCAAAAGCCUUAUGAGUCUCUAUGAUUUUGUUAAUGUAAAAAUAAUACAAUAUCGUAAUGAUUCAUGCAUCAUCAAUCACAAUACUAUUAUAUUACAUUUACAUUACCGAUAUAUUUACAUAAAUAGGAUGUUAUAUUAUUUUAUAUUAACGAUAUGUUAAAAUUUAGCUAACUAAAUUAGGUUAUAAAAUUUGAUUACAAUAAUUUUGAAAGUUCGAGUCAAAAUUAUAAUAAAUAAAGUUUGAGGAGCAAAAUGUCACAUACAAUACUAUUGCUCUUUUUUAAUUCUUUUAAAUACUAGUUAUAUAUAAUUUGAGAUACUAAUGAAGAAUUUUUUUUCUUUUUUUUCCUUCGUUAGUUUGCAAUUGCAUUAUGGCUAAUUGAUGAUGACAACUUAUUUUUAAAAAUGUAGAAGCAAGAAAUAAAUAUUUUUUAAUUUUAGUUUUUAGCGCGAAUAAAUCUUUCAUAUGAUGAAUUGUAAGCAACUCUCCUCUUUUUAUAAAAACAGCAAUGCUAAACGAUAUCUUAAUGUGCAAUAAAAAUUAAUUAACAAAAGGAUGCAUGAGUAAAUAGUACAUAAAAUUUAAGUGGUGAUUUUUUAAUGACGUUUUAUUGGGGAACCUUUGAUCUGCUGUUGUGUUAGUUUACCUCCAUUCAAAAAUUCAUUAGCUAUUUUUUACUGCUAAAAUUUAAAAAUCAAAUUUAAACUAUAAAAAAAAAUUGUAAUGUUUAAAUAGAAAUAAAAUUGAUUCAUGAUAUUGAGCUAGAACUUUUUAAUAAAAUGUGGUUGGAAAGAUCCCACUGAAUUUUUUCUGCAGCAAUGGUCAAAGAGGAGGGAGAGAAGAGAGCAGGUGAAUGUCUUUUCCUGGUUCUGUUUUGAGCACUUAUUACAGUGUCAAAGUACAGUUCUUAUAAUUCAAAUUUGUCUCCAAUCAUGUUGGACCCAGAAAAGUGAAUUCAAUCAAUUAGCUGUAGCAACUUUUGACUUUCUAGUUUGGCUCAUUUAAGAGGGUUGAAAAAAAUAAAAAACUCAGAUCUGAUUCAUACAAAAAAGUCUAAAAUGUUAGUUAUAUAUCUAGUGUGGCGUGCCUUAACCAAUCAUAAUUCUUCUUUAAAUUUAUCCAUUUUAUCAUAAUUUAUAAAAAAAUUAUUUGUGUUGUAUAUUUCUCUCAAAAGGAUGUAUUUGAUUGGUUGGAUAUAGCUGAUGUGAUGUGACUGCUACACAGAAAAUUUUUUCUUCUUAUUUAGACAUUAGAAUAAGUUAUUCAGUUAUAGCUUAGUAUAAAAUUAUUUUAGAUAAUUUUUUAAGAAGUAAAAGAUUGAUUCUGUUUUGUUUCUUAAAUGAUUUUGGCAUUUAUGAUUUAAUAUAAUAACAUAUUUUACCUAUUAAUUUAGUUUUUCUAAAAAUAUGAAUUGGCGAUUGAAAAUGCUAUUUCAUUUUAAACGUUUGAUCACACUCUUAACUUUCCAUCACAAUAGAAAAUCUCCAUUCCAAAGGAGGUUUCUUUUUACAAUUUAUUUUCACAUUCAAACGUUGUUCUGGUUCAACAAUAAAUUAUUUUUAUUUUAUUUCUGAUAUAGGUACAAAGAAGUAAAUUUAAUUUUGCAUUUGUUUAUGAAUUGAGUUAUUUUGAAGAAUAAGUAAAAAAAUAAAAUUUGAAUGAUAGAUUAGAAUAAUGAAAGUAUGAAUAAUUAUAUAAUUUUGAAAUAAAACUAUUUUACCCAAUUCAUAAAUAUCAAAUAAUAAUAAGAUGAAAUUUAAUAUAUUAAAUAAUUAAUUAACAAUGAACACUAUGGCCCCGUUUGGAUACCUCUAAAAACGUAGUAUAGUUAAACUAUACUAUGCCGGUAGGAAAAUAAUCCUAUGAAGCGUUUAGAAGAAAAAAAAUAACGUAAUUCCACCAUUUUGGGCUCUCAAAGAUGUAUCAAUUUCUAAAUUUUAAAUUUCAACAUAAAAUUUUAAAUUUCAAAAUUUUAAAUUUUAAAAUUCAAUUUUAAUUUUGAUUUUAAAUUUCAAAUUUUAAAUUUCAAAUUUCAAAUUUCAAAAAGUUCAAAUAUCAAAUAUCAAAUUUCAAAUUUCAAAUUUCAAAAAGUUCAAAUUUCAAAUUUCAAACUUCAAAUUUCAAAUUUCAAAUUUCAAAUUUCAACUUUCAAAUUUCAACUUUCAAAUUUCAAAUUUCAAAUUUCAAAUUUCAAAAAGUUCAAAUUUCAAAUUUCAAAUUUUAAAAAGUUCAAAUUUCAAAUUUCAAAUUUCAAAUUUUAAUUUAAUUUUUAAUUUUUAAUUUUCAAUUUUCAAAAUUUAAAUUUAAACUUUAAAUUUAAAUUUUAAAUUUAUAAAUAUGUAAAUUUAUAAAUUAUUAAAUUUAAAAUUUAAAAUUUUAAUUAUAGAUUUUUUAAAUUUCAAAUUUUAAUGUUUAAAUGGUAUACUUUAAAUUUUAAAAUUUAAAGUUUCAAAUUUCAAAUUUUAAAUUUCAAAUUCCAAAUUUCAAAUUCCAAAUUUCAAAUUUCAAAUUUAAAACAUAAAAUCUAAUUUAAUUUUUUAAUUUUAAAUUUUAAAUUUUAAUUUUAUAUUUUGAAUUUUGAAUUUUAAUUUUUAAAAUUUUAUUUUUAAAUUUUGAAUUUUGAAUUUUGAAUUUUAAAAUUUUAGAAAUUUAAUUGUCACAAAUACUGUGAAAUUGUAUGAUCUUUAUCCAAACAGCUUAAAAAUGAAGUUGUGAAAUAUUUUUGUAAUUACAGGAUUCCAUAUUUCAUUUAGACCAAAAUUAUAGAAUAAAAAUUCCAUAAAAUUUUUUAACUAUGCAUCCAAAUAGGGCCUAAAUAAGAUAAUAGAGAAGCACAUAACGUGAAUCAAACGGACCCUAAGAAUAUCAGUACCAUAUUAAAUAUAGAAUCAUUAGAUCUAUGUUAACACUUUCUCUUUUUAUCAGUUUACACUUUUAUGUUGGAUUCUAAUCAUUUAAUAAUUAUGUCAAUUUUUCAACGAGUAUCUUUUCAUAUACUUAUAAAAUUUGCUUAAUUUAUUUCUAAAAACUGUCAUGUUCAGCAUUAAAGUUUUCCUACUAUUCACAAAGAUAAAAAAAAAAAAAAAAAGGAAAAAAACAGGAAACAUCAUCUCUGGUACCAAACCAUUUGACUUCUUAAGCUUCAUCGGUCUAAUUAUUAUUUUGUACUUGCACAUUAUUACUAUUUUUUCUUUUUUUUUAAUACCAGUACAUUAUUAAUUAAUUAGUUGGCAAGUCAUAUAUACUAGCUAUAAAAAGGUGCAAACAAAAUUUUGACCAGAACCACCAAUGAAAAAUUAGAGAUCAUAUUAAACUACAUUAAUAUAUGCUUGUAUUGCCCUAACAUGCAUUUGCUUAUUCAAACCUAACAUAAUCCACAAUCAACAGGAAAUGUGUUUGAUAAAAACUACUAUAUAUAUAGGGUUAAUUGUAUACAGCUCCUUGUAAAUAUAUCGAAUAGCAAAUAUAUCCCUACAAAGUUUAAAUUUUCAUAUUUAUCCAUGUAAAAGUUCUAAUAAUUUCAAAUAUACCCCCGUUGUUAGGAUCUGCUAAAAAUAUAUAAUUUACCAUAGUAAAAUAUUUAAUCCCGAUUAGUGAAUGAGGUAAUUAAUCUUUGUACCCCUCUUAUGUUAUUUGUGAUGAUAGAAAAGAUGAAAAUGACGUACCAUUGGAGAUUUUUGGAAGGAUAUUUCUUCAUAAUUCUAAUACUCGGAACCUUUGGAGGAACAUAUUUGUGAUGAUAAAAAUAUCAUUUUAUUUAACUUUUUUUAAAAAAUAAACAAUGCUCUAACGGUAAGAAACCAUAAGGCCAAAUAUGAAUAUCACUGGACUUUUAUAGGAACAAAUAUAAAUAGUUGAAUUUUAUAAGGAUAUAUUUAUUAUUCAAUAUGGUUAUAGGAAGUUAUAUAAAAUGAAACCUACAUAAUAACUUCAUAAUAGAAUCUAAAUGUAAAAUUACGGUCAUUCUAGUUUACACCAUAUCUCUUGUUUUUGAAAUAAUAAAAAUUACUUUCCAUAAUUUAGUUCCCAAACUAGUCGAGAACGGUUUUGGAUUUUUGAAAAUUCGUCCCGAAUCCGCCCCGUUGACAUUUCUAUCCUUAUGUGAAAUGGGACUAGUAAGUUGGAGCAAUUCUCCCUUCUUUUUUUUGAGGGAAAACAAAGGCGAUUUUAUUUAAUUAAUUAGUGGAUACAAAACUGAGAAAAUUCAUCAAUAGAAGACCAGAAAGAAAGCUUUUUUCUUGUGAGUCCCCAAGUGGCUAAGCGAUUCGCGACUAUAGUAUAUUUAGAAAAUCUCAAAUUCCAUCCGGAGUUGGAGCAAUUCUCUCUAACUUCACUGGAUUUCGUCCAUGCACCAACAUUUACUUCUGCGUCACUUUCCGCGAUGGACAUCCAAAUUAAGUAUUGACAAGAUUAAACAUAGUUUAAGAUUAUUGAAAUUUUUUAGGAACCAAUUUUGUAAAUUUUUUUUACAUUACUCGUCUUCUAUUCGAGGGAUUUCAAAUGAUAGUGUUAACAAUUAUUCGAAAGUGAGUUUAAGACCACUUGAUUAUUAAGCAAAAAAUAUCAAAAAAUUAUAAAAUUUGGUUUCAAUGCUCAAAUAGGUUCAAUUGUAUUUAAUAAUACCGAUCGUCAAUUCAGAUACUUACCGUUUAAUUAAGAUAAUGUAGAUGUAAACAAUGCCGUAUUCUAAUUGUACUUUUAUAUUCAUUUUAGGGUAAACUUCAAUUUGCCCCUGUAUGGUUUAAUCUAUUUUGGCUAUACUGUUGCUCAAAAAGUUGCAUUUAGCUAUCAUGUAUUUUUAUUUUAUUUCGCUGAAAAAUUCUGUAGCCAAAUAGAAUAACAGAGUUUUUUUUUUGAAAACUACACGAUAGUAUCGUAUUUACCGAUAGGCAAAAUAAAAAUAAUAUCAUAAACUAGUUAACUAUAACUUUUUGAAUCCCAGAAUGACAAAGUAAAAAAUGUGCUAACUAAUAGAAUAAUUAAGUAUAAUUUUUUUGCACCAUGAGAUGACCAAAUAAGAUAUGCAAAACCUAAAGGUUAUUGAAUUUUUUUUGCCCUUCUUUUUAUUAUUAUAAGGUUAUUGAAUUUUUUUUUUAAAAGAAAAUAGCAAGUUAUCCAUUUCAUUUACUAAAGAAAUUAAUUUUGCUACAUAUAUAAAGUAACUAGACCUCAGAACCCAGGAAAAAAAGAAAAAGAAAAAAAAAUCAAAGUCCCACACAAAAAUAAAAUAAAAUAAAAUAAAAAAUAAUCACAUCAUCCAAACAAUUUACCUCAGUAUUUAAAGGUGGGAAAUCUUCGGCUCUGCUGCCGGCAAUGAAUAGGAAGGCCAAGCAACGAGAGGGUGUGGAUGGUAGUGGGGACGCUCUACCAGUCAAGGUGCUCAUCCGCAAGAGCCGACUCGGCGGAGUGGAUUUGGGUGAUGCCGAAGUGAAGGCCUUCGACGACUUUUUGAGCAAGCAUAGGGGGGGUUUGUACGUGCAGGAUUGAUGGCACCUUUUUGGGGAGUGUGAUGGUGUCUUUUGGUUUUAUUUUAUGAUUGGAGUCUGUAGUUGGAAUGUUAGAGGGCUUAACAACCUCUCUAAGCGUAACGCCGUUAGGACGGUUAUUUCUAAGUUUUGUAAUGUGGUAGUGUGCUUGCAAGAGUCUAAGGUGGAUUUUGUAUCCAGAUCCUUUUUGCAUAGUAUUGGCGGAUCCUUCCUUAACAAAUGUGUCUAUCUCGAAUCGGACGACGCUUUUGGAGGAGUUAUCACGUGUUGGAACUCGCGUUUUUUCCUUGGCCAUGACGUCCUAGUGAGAAAAUAUUCGGUGACCGUCCUUCUUUCGCACAUCAAGUCCGGAAAAAAUUUUUACGUCACGAAUGUCUAUGGACCGACAACGUGGGAUGGGAAGGAGGAAUUUUUUGCGGAAGUAAUGCAGUUGAGAACGCAUUGUGAGGGAAGCUGGAUCAUCUGUGGCAAUUUUAACAAUAUUAGGAGACAAGAGGAGCGAAAGGGGAAGACCUGGAGUGCGAAAGCCAUGGAUAUGUUUAACUCACUUAUAAGAGACUUAGCACUAAUAGAUCCACCUAUGACGAAUCAAUCUUUUACGUGGUCGAAUAUGCAAAAAAACCCGACCCUUGCGAGACUCGAUCAUUUCCUAUUAUUAACGGAGUGGGAUCAGGAUUUUCCUUUUUCGAAGGUUGUUGCUCUCCCUCGUGUCACUUCUGACCACUGCCCUAUUCUUCUCCCUCGUGUCACUUCUGACCACUGCCCUAUUCUUCUGACGGUUGAGAGGGGAUACAAGGGGGGGGGGGGAAUCUUUCGAUUCGAGGAAGGGUGGCUCAACCAUGAGGGCUUUCUUACCAAAGUACCUGGAUGGUGGAACGAAGGGGAUUCUAAAAGCUCUGCUGUGCUGACCAUUACAGCGAAGUUGAGGCAUUGCCGAAAAAGGAUUAAGGAAUGGUGCAAAAAUGAGUUUUACAGUGUUAGAGGGCAAAAGGAUUUCAUCAUGGGUGAGAUUCACCGAAUUGAUCAAGCGGAGGAACAUAGCACACUUUCAAAGGAAUGGGUAGCGAAAAGAGAAGAUCUGAAAGUAAAAUUAAGAGGCGUAUUAAAUGACGAAGCGUCCUUGUGGAGAGCCAGGGCUAAUCAGCAUUGGUUACGCGAGGGAGACAGUAACACGAUAUACUUCCAUAGUAUAGCUAAUGGAAGAAGACGAGCUAAUGGGGUAGGGGUUGUUGCGGAUAACGGGCGAGUUUAUCAAACUGAGGAGGAUAAGAAGGAAUACUUUUUUGGUAAAUUUAAAGAGCUCUUUAUGGCGGACGACAAGGCCCCACAUUUUUUCGGGGAUUGGAGUAGACUGUUUACCACAAAUCGGGUUUCGGACCCGAUGCACAAGCGGCUUACUGAGAGGUUCAGCAACGGCGAAAUUAAGGAAGCGGUGUUCCAAUUGGGAUCUAAUAAAGCUCCGGGCCCGGAUGGAUUCCUACUACGUUUCUACCAAACAUUCUAGGAUACCGUCAAAGGAGAUCUACUAUUAUUGUUCCAAGAAUUGUAUGAGGGCAGGGUGUCCACUGCCCCCUUCGACUACUCCUUUAUAUGCCUAAUCCCUAAGAAGGAAGGAGCGGAGAGAGCAAACGACUUUCGACCUAUCAGUCUCAUUAACGGAAUACAAAAGAUCAUAUCGAAGGUACUGGCUAAUCGCCUUGCUGUAGUGAUGAACGAGCUAAUUUCACCCUCUCAAUCGGCGUUCUUGAAAGGGAGAAAUAUAACGGAUGCUUAUGCCACCGUCUCGGAAUUAAUAAGGUGGGGUAGUAAAACGGUGACUGAGGGGGUUGGCAUUAAAGUGGAUUUUGAAAAGGCUUAUGAUAGGAUUCAUUGGCCUUCUAUUCAGAAUUCUCCAGUGGUGGGGAUUUGAUGCGAAAUGGUGUGAAUGGAUUAAAAAGUGUGUGUGCAACGCUAAAGUUGCCAUCUUGGUUAACGGAGAGGCGACUAACUGGAUCAAAACUAAGAGGGAGGUGCGGCAAGGGGACCCAUUAUCACCAUUCUUGUUUUUGUUGGUGGCGGAGUGUCUCGCCAGACUGACCGUCGAGGCCAUUGAUAACAACCUCUUGAAGGGUGUUGGUCCUUCCGAUGAGAGUUUAACGGCACUCACAUAGUUUGCGGAUGAUACUUUCUUUUUCUCGGUGGCUCGAAAAAGAUAUAUCCGAAACCUUAGACUGAUGUGGAACCUUUUCGAGUGGGCUUUAGGUUUGAAAAUCAACAGGGAUAAGUCGGAGCUCUACUAUUUCAAAGGGAGGGCAAAGCAGCACGACUUGCCAAAUUGAUAGACUGCAGUGUGGGCUUUCUUCCCACCACCUAUCUUGGAUUCCCCCUCUUCCCAAAACCACCCACGAAGGAGGCAUGGACAGGGUAAUUCAGAAAAUACAGAAUAGAAUAGAGGGAUGGCAUGCCAAACUCCUCUCAAGAGGAGGUAGACUUAUCCUGGUCAACGCUGUGCUUACUAACCUCCCUCUUUACUUUCCGUCAGUGUUUUAGGCACCCAGUUGGGUGAUUAAACGUAUAGAAGCCUUACGCAGAGACUUCUUCUGGAGUGGACAAAGCAACUUCUCGGGCAAGGGGUGCCUAAUCGCAUGGAAGAACGUCUGUGUGAGUAAAAAGGCAGGGGGAUUAGGCAUUCUGAAUGUAGCGAGCAUGAAUCGGGCACUCCUAGUUAAAUGGUGGUGGAGGUUUCGCACUGCACCCCAACUACAGUGGACUAAGAUUAUUCAUGCGCUUUUCUACAAAAGAAAAAAGCCCCUGAGGGAAGGUAAAUACUUCAGACCACACUCACACUGGUGGAAAGGUGUCUUAACUACUAAGGAAAUCUUCAAAUGGGGAAUCUACUAUAAACUAGGGAAUGGGAGCUCUAUUGAUUUUUGGAAGGAUAGAUGGUGUGGGGAGAAGACAUUUCAAAGAUCCUUUCCGGAGGUGUAUGGUUAAGAGGUAGUAAAUCAAUCACGGUUAGGGAUUGCUUUGGAAGUGAGGAUUGGAAUUGGACUACGAUCCUGGGUGAUGAGGCUACUGGUUUGCCUGGCCUGAGCCCAUCUAUUUCGAAAAUCAAAGAGAAGGUUAACAGCUAUCACUUAAGACACAGUUUGGACAUGAUAGGGUGGAGAUGGGGGGAGCAAUGGAACAUUCUCUGUCAAAUAGAUCUAUAGAAUGUUAAAUGAUGGAGGUAGGAGAGACGGACGUGUUAACAAGAUCUGGAGACUCCGCAUACCACUCAAGGUCAAAGUGUUCUGUUGGCUUGUCCUAAAGAAAAGAGCUCCUACAGCAGAGAACCUCAUAAAGAGAGGGUGGACUGGAGACACGACCUGCAUGUUGUGCAGGAUAUAUGAUGAGAUAGUGGACCAUUUAUUCACCCAAUGUAUCUUCACUAAGUUUUUUAUUGUAAUGGGCCUCGAGGAUGUCCAGGCAGGGGAGUUGGGAGGUGAUGUGAACGUAGUCUAGAAUGGGUGAAGGGGGGGGGGGGGGGGACGGUGGGCCAGAAUAGGAGUAAGGGACUAGCCGAGUUAGUCACAUGUUGGUAGAGUAUUUGGAAGGCCAGGAACAACCUUAUUUUUCGCGACAUUCAGCUGGACCCUGUUUUAGCAGUGCAUAGGCUCAAGCAGCUGAUCACUUCUGAAAUGACCUUCUAUGAUUGAUUGAUCUUUUUUUCUUUUUUUCUUUUUUUUUUUUUGUACUUGCUGGUGACUCAAGGCCCUAGUUGCCUCACCCUUAUAGCCGAAUUCACCCUUUCAAUGAAUGAAGCAGCUAGCGUGCUAGCUAUUCUCAAAAAAAAAAAAAAAAGCAUUGGUCCCAAACCCCUAAGACGGCUUAGUGGAGGUAUAAAGAAGAAAAUAAACUCUUAUUCCCCCCUUUAUAUCUAAACACAAUUUUGGGAGACAGAAAUAAUAUUUUUAUUUUUCAUGAAACAAGUUGGUAUAAAGACGGAACCACUGUUUCACCUUUUUUUUCUGAAACAUUAAGCUUGUUAAUUUCUAUUUCCUAAAUGAAAACAAGCUUAAUUAAAAUCUGAAUUUAAUUUUAAUUAUGGUACUAAAUUAUUAAUAAAUCAAAUUAAUGUAUUUAAAUCAUAAUCUAUUGCUUAAAUAAUAAAGUAAUUAAUUAAUUUAUUAUUUAUAAUUAAUUAGCUAAUUAAAAUUAAAAGUUUAAUAUUUUAUCUAGUUAAUUUCUUUACUGAUUAUCUAACUAAAUGAUUUACUAACUAAUUAAAAAGUAAAAUUACUUUUUAUCUCUAAUUAAUUAAUUAAUUAAUAUAUUUUUAUUAUCUUAUACAAUAUUCAUAGCUAAUAAAUUUAUUAAUUUAUUAAAUUAUUUGUAAUUAAUAUUUUGAUGUUAAUUAAUUAGAUAAAAUAUUUUUAACCUAAAAUUAUAACUCUUAUUCCUCCUAUUCCAAUCUAAUCAUCCAAAUACUAAUUACCUUAAUUCUAGGAACAAUACAAUUUUCAUCCAAAAUAUAAAACUGCUCUAAUUCCUGCGUAUACUUAAACUUAUACCUAUCUCUGAAAUAAGUAGUUCUUUCGUAUAUCCGAACCAAACGCAGGAGGAUACGCUUAGUCCUCUAUUACCGCCGUGUCUCAUAUUCUGAAAGAUCCUAUUAUUUUUCACAAGCCAUGCAUACUAUCCCCUAGGAAGUUUAUCAUACCAUUUUCCUAAUUUGAGUGUCCAUUAUCAACAAUAAACCCUCUCAAUUUCAUUGGUUAUACAUUUUCUUCGUGGGGAGGAAGUCUACAGUAUAACACUUGCAUCAUAUUUUUUAUGUUUAGCCAAUCACUUUUUUUUUUUCAGAAAAAUAUAGCAUAUUAUUUUUUAAAAAAAAUUAUAAUAAAUCUAAAAAAAUAAUUUAAUUAGUUGAAAAUAUUAUAUUAUAUAUUCUAUGUCACCUUCACAUUUUAGACCUUUUCCUUCAGCUGGUGGUCCUUCUCUGCAAAUGCCACCCUAUAAAUCACACACAUCCCAUAGAUUUCCAAACAAUCCUUGUCUUUUUCAAUUGACCAUAAGAUGGACAGCAACACAAUCAGACCGUGCCACCUUUUUGGAUGUUGCAUCCAAUAAAUAAAUAAAUAAAUAAAAAUAAAAACUCUAUAAAAUCAAUGCCUAAUAUACUCGCUUGAUGGGCUUUAUCAUAACUCUAAUUUUGAAUUAAAAAAAUUUGAUCCUCUAUUUCUAAGAGGUCGUUUGAUUUUAAUUUUACUCGCUUGAUAAACUUUAUUACAAAUUUAAAAAUCACAAACUUUAAUUUUUAAAUAUUUCAAAUACUCUAGAUUAUAUAUUAUAGUAUUAUUAAAUUAAUAUAAAAUAUAUAAAUAUAGUUAAAGUUUAACUUUUUGAAGAAUAAUCAUUGUUUUCACAUAAUUUAACAUGCUAUCAGAAUAAGAGCUUAUAAUCUAUAUUUAUAUCCAUACAUUAUUUCUUAUAAAAUUUACCAAAUGGCAAUUUCUUUUCACCCUUACCUCCUCUCCCCUUCCCACUCUCUAAUUGCUUCGCCUUUUUACCCCCAUCUCCGUCUAAUGCUUCGUCUUUUUACCCGCUCAUUUUCUAAUUAAUGCGUUUAUAUAAUUUAUUGUUAUCUAAACAAAUCGCUUUCACAAAAAAAAGAGUAAAAUAAAAAAUCUCUUCAUAUAUAGUUUUUUUUUCUCACACUAUUUGCAUUUAUUGAUGUCUCAUGGCAAAUCAAAAAAUUUUAAAAUUUUUUACUUUAUCAAUCUUCUAUUUUUUAUAAUAUUAGUCCGCCGUAAUGCGCAGAUAACUUUACUAGUAUUAUUUAAUUUUUUUUUAUUUAAUUAAGCCCAUGUCUUGGAUUUAUUAAAAAUCUUAUCCAGACGUAAAAAAAAAAAAUAUUAAACAUAAAAUAAAUAAAUACUGAACUCUACUAUUUUUAGUUUCUAAAGAUAAACUCGAUCUUACCUACUUACAUUUAAUUGCCGUCCGCUUCUUAAACAGACCUGUACUCCACAAGAUGAACUAAUGCUAUGUAUAGUUCUUAUAGAAAAAAAAAUCCCAAUUAGCCUCCUUUUAAAAAAAUUCCUAACCUAGGCUACUUUUGAUAUAUAGAAAAUAAAAAGAUAACUUUAAUAGUAUUUAUAUGCUAACUUGGAGAGAGAAAUUUUUUUUCUCUCUCUCCUCUCACCCUACUAAUAAUUUAAAAAAUAUUAAUUUUUAAAAUAAUAAUAUUAUUAAAAUUAAUAUUUUAAUAAUAAUAAUAAAUAUUAUAUAUUUGAAUUUUUUUGAAAGAUAGCAUGAUGCUAUCUCUUCAUUUAUUUUUUAGAAAAUAAAUCUUGCGAAAUAUUAAUAAUUCAAACUCAGGACUUUCAAAUAAGACCAACCCAUAAUUUAACACUUGUACUAAAUACUAGUAAUAAUAAUAAUAAAUUAUCAUUCAGUAAUAAUAAUGUCAUUAUUAUUAAAUAUUAAUUUUUAAUUAUUGUUAUUAUUAUAAAAAGUAAUUGAGAGAAAAGAGAGAGAAAUUUUCUCUCUCCUAAUUAACAUAUAAAUGCUUUUAAGUCAUUUUUAUUUUCUAAUCCAUCAAAAGAAGGCUAGAUUAGGAUUUUUUUUUAAGAAGAAAGCUAGAUUGGGAAUUUUUUUUUCUCAAUAAGGCUAGAUGUGGCAUUAGUUCCGGCAAGAUGGUGUGGAUACGAACCAAACAGGGCCUAAGACACUUUAGAGGUUGCUUGAACCCAAAACUAGGCCAUAAAUCCGAAUUUGAUAUUAAGGACCCACAUCCAAUUUUAAUCGGGUUAUCGGGUUAUCGGGUUAUCGGGUCUCUUAACUCCUCCAUCUCAAUCUCCACUCCUACAUAAACUCUUAGCCCAACUCCCUUUCCUUCUCCUAAACUACUCCACUACCAUGGUAGCGUCCUCCUCGCCAAUGGCCACGGCAAUCGCCGCGAUCGCCGACGCCGCCUCGUGGUGCUGCGCCCUGGCGGUGGUGGCGCUGGUCGUCCUUUGCGCCCUCCGAGCGGGGCCUCCGACGGCGGCGGAAUUGGCCGCCGUAGCCGACGAAGGAAGGCAAUUUGAUGCGGUAUUGCGCGGCGCGAGGCUCGCGGAGAAGCGGCUGUGCGACGAGAUAUACGUGGUGGGAGAGGGGGAGACGCUGCACAGCAUCAGCGACAAGUGCGGCGACCCGUUCAUCGUCGAGCGCAACCCCCACGUCCACGACCCCGACGACGUCUUCCCCGGCCUCGUCAUCAAGCUGAUCCCCCACCAACAUGUUUAACGGCUCUAUAUAGAGAGAGAGAGUGAUAGUAUGUGAAUAAUAUUUAUUAUCUAUUUUUUUUAUCAUCAUGUUACUAUUAUUUCACCUAUCAGUACUUAAUCCUAAGCAUUUGAUUGUACAAAAAUAGAUAGCAAAUAUUAUUUUUAUUUUAUCAAAAGCAUUUCAGCCACGUUUUAUAUAUAUAUAUAUAUAUAUAUAUAUAUAUAUAUAUAUAUAUAUAUAUAUAUAGUAUAUAGAGAAUUAGAGUACUUAAGAGGUUAAUCAUAUAUUACUGUCUAAGUUGUUAGAAUGUAAAUAAAAAUGUAUAUAACUUAUCUGCCUCAUAAACUAUUUUAAGUCAGCUAUUCAAGCUUUCAAAUUUUUAAUUUUUUUAUUCUAUCUUUCAAUUUAUGUGAUUUGAGUUAGGCUUAGUUUGGUAUUGAAAUCUAUCUAACGCUAUUAAAUAAAUGGAGUUGAGGAAAAAGCAUAUAGGGAUAUACUUCUGCGUUCUCCGAUGGGACCGCGAAAAAUAUAUCGUAACCGACUCAUCGCGAUAUGCAGAAUGCAAUAUUACGUACGAAAACAAACAGGGUAUUUUUCCAUCGUCGUUUCUCACCGCACGUAAUGCAAUCUUUCCGCAAUCCCAAACGAAGCCUUAGUCAGUUAUAUUUUGACCUCAAAAUUUAGAUUGAUUACUUACUCUGCUGAAUUUAUUGGCACAAGAAAUUUAUAGAAUAUACCAACUAAAUCUUUAGAAAUAAACAUUAUAUUCGAAUUUUGAAGCUAAAUUAUCACAGAGAAACUCAGAUCAAACAAAUUGCAAGAUUACAUAAUAAAAUUAAAAUUUUCAAAAAGUUAGAUAGUCAAAUAAAAAGGUCAACAAUUAAAGCAUAUAAGUUCUGUAUGUUUACCUAAAAUAUAUGAUAUUGAAGUAUGAUGAGUUUAUACCUUAGAUCUUUGUGAUGUUUCUUUUGUUUAGAUUAUUUAUGAGCAGUUUUAUAUUAAUUUUUUUAAUUUUUUUUUUGAAAGACGGCGAGGAAUAAUCACUCAGCUAGCUUCAUUCAUUAGAAAACUGAACAGCUUAAUUCAUUAAAACAAAGAAGAAAUUACAAGGAAAAUAAUAUUUUUGUGGAGAAUUUUAACUCUCGCUGAUUUGAUCAUCUUUUCGUCUUCUAUUAUCCUUUUUGGUCUCUGAUAUGAAUUCUAAUAAAUGUCUCGUUUUGUUAUUGCCAUAUAAAGUAAUUUCUUUUGUGGGCUCCAAAAAUUAUAGGAGGUAGGAAUUGGGAGGAAGAGGAGAGGUAGAUUGAGAGUAAUGAGUUGCUGAGUAAGCUAAGGUUAGUUCACCUACUCGCAUCUAACAUUAUCAAGUGUUGGUUUCUAGUUGGAAAGUGGUGUAAAUGAUCCUGCGAUUCCCAAUAAACAAUAAAAAUAUACUUAACACUUUCAUUCACGUACACGAUAGAUUUAACACUAAUGUAAAGUUGCUAUGAUGGAGAUUUGAAUUCAAAACCUCACAAUCCUGAAUGAUUUUAAACAGUUUAGAAUAUAUAUAUAUUUUUUGAGAAUAAUGUAGUAUGCUACCGCUUCAUUCAAUAAGAAGGUGAAUUUAGCAAAAGGGUGAGACAACUAGGCCUCAAAAAAAAAAAAAAAAAAAAACACUACUACCUAGUACAAUAAGAAAGCCAAAGGUUCCGGUAUACUCGAAUGUUCGAUGGCAGUUGACUUGGGGAGCUCUUUUUGUCGAAUAUUUUUCUAUUCCUCUCUAACCAAAUGGCCCACCAAGCCGAGGCGAUUGUCGCUAAUUCUCGCUCCCUCAGGGCCCCAUCUUUACGACAUCUCUCCUCCCAAAGACGGUCAACUGAGGUACAGUUAGAAAUCACAGUUUAGAAUUUACUAAUUAAGAAUUAGACUACUAUACUAUUAAUAGCAUCCGGCGCUUGAUACUAUUAGUUUUUUGGUUCUUAGAUGAAGGGAUGUGUGGUUAGGAUGAUAGAGGUGCUCUAGAGUUGAGUGGGUGGUUGUUUAAUAGUAUAAUCUAAUUGAUGGAAAUAGUCAAAUGGGCAGGUCUAACUGCAUAAUCAAACAUUCGGUUUUAUCAAUAGUAUAGUAACCGGAGUCUACUAAUUAUUAUUAUUAUUAUUUUUUUGUAGAUACAUAAUUUAUCUAUUAGUUUGUUAUUUUGACAGUUAGCUGUUGGAAAAUUUAUUCCUAAUUUACAUUAUUAGUGUUAUGUUGUUGUUUGGUUGUUUCUUUAAAAAAAAAAAACAAAACUAAGUUUUUAUGGGAUAUGCACUAUGGUGGAGAAAUUUUUUUUUAAUAAGAUUUGCAUGGGAGAUAUGACAAGGAAAAUUGGCUCUGGAUAACCAAUCAUUUAUUUAUCUCCAUCAUCCACUCCAUCCCCAAAUCAUUUAGAAUAAUUAAAUAUAAGAUUUUUUUUUUUUUAUCUGCCCAUGCAACAUGUUUUUUUAAAGAUAGUAUUUAUCUAUGUAUUUUUUUAAGUUGAAAAUAUGCACAUAUUUUAGUAUAUAUAAUGUAGUACGUCUCUAUAGGUGUCUAUAUUUAUAUAUCUAUUAAUAUAUUAUAAGUUAGGCUGCUAUGCUAUUGAUAAUACGGAUGUCUCCAUGCUAUCAAGUAUUUUUUAGUGAUACGGCUUCCAAAUUGACGAUCAGUUUAAUUAGAUUUGAUCUACACUACUUAAAGUAUUUGAAAACUAAAUUUUAUAAUUUUUCGAUAUUAUUUGGCUAGUGAUCAAAAGAUCUAAAAAUUGACAAUUUUAAUGGUUGAUGUGAUGCUGUCACGCCCCGGAUAUCACAUUCCCCGGGCACGUCGACAAAUCCGCCGUAUACAAAGGAAUUUCCCCUGUAUACGAAGCGUCAAAGUACCUGUAGAAAAACGAUACUACAAACAGUAGCAUAGAGCUGCUCAAGAACAACUAAAUAACUGAGUUUCAUAUACAUAGCUAGCAUCCAAAAUACAAAACUACUCGCACUGGCGAGUUAAACAACUAUGUACAUAAACUCCAAAACAACAACUACCUGCAGUAGGGGAAAGCCUCUAGCUCUGACUGUCGGGUAGGGCUCUAGCUCGCAACGCCCUUGCCUCGAUCCUGAUCGGCGGAAGAUGCAGCAGCCGGCACCUGUGGCUCUGCAAAACAUAAGUAACAACUGGGCGUGAGAACUACUGUAAAAACAAGUAGUCCUCAGUGGGUACCGCCCAAAACGACAUCGGUCACCCACUAAGUCUACAGAAGGGAGCAAGCGAUUAGAAGAAAAACGCAGAAAGUCACUCUACCCGCGAUCAUCCACUAACACCUUCCAUAGGCUCUUUAUACUAACCGAACUAGUGGAAAUGUCAAAUCUGACCAAUCCAAAAUCGGGACUUGUAAGCAUUAUCCGUCCCGGACUGUGAAUCACCCCCUGCUCCGUUGCGGACUGUCCAGUACUCCACAAUGACUAGUCCGUGAGAGCAAGUCCACUGGCAUGAGCGACACCAACUCGAAAGCACCAGCCUGAUCCGGAGUGGCACUCGUGGGCUACCAACCGAGUAUGCAGCGUAUCUUGUCGAGCUCAAUCAGGCUCAACUAGCCAAAGUCAAGUAAUCGACUCAAACCGUCUAACAACCAACAGGUAACGUGCCCUCGCACAAUCUGACGCCAAAAAGGCGAUACGGGUCCACCGUCAGCUCUGACAGCACCCAACAGUCCGAAAACAACCUGAACGACCCUGUAAAAUCCACUCGGCGAACAGCACGAGUGUAAAUACAUUCUAACUACCUGGGUACUCGUCUCGACGAAACUGACAAUACAAUUUUCUAACGGUCCUGGAGCUAAAUCAGGUAGUUAAAACUGGUGACAGGUCCAAACGCAGGUUUUCUCCUAAUUCAAAUUCCAUGUACCAACAUGUAUAAUCUAUCUUAAUUUAUAAAACAUGCUCCAAAUUCAGAUUUCACAUCUACAUAUCGUCCAUAAAUUUGAGCUAACACAAUUUACCGAAAUCAAAUCUAUACAUGUCGACCAAUAAGAACUUAAGGAGUAAAGUCGAUGUAACCCACCUCAAAGCUAAAUCCAGCCAGCGAACGAAGCCUCGAACCAGGACAACCUCUGCUAGAUCAAACUGGGGACCUCCAAGUCGCGUAGACGAGCUAACCGCCAACUAAACAAUUAAAGGAUCCUCGAUCAGUCCAGAAAUCACAGCAGCUGAGUAGGAACGAGAUUAGGACCGAGCUAACCUCACCAAAUCUGGCAAGUGAGGCUUCGUGGAUUCUCUCGAAGUCCGCGAAUCCAAGAACCAAGCCUCGACGCGAUCCGACGUUCCUACGCGGAGAACGAGCUGAAAUACGAACAGUCGACGGCGAAUUUCAGCAAAACAGCUACUAACCGAGUAGAAAUAGUAAUACUUGCCCAAAAUCCAAGAAAGAUGCCGAAUCACCCACCUCAACAGCGUCGAACCUCGGCGCGACGUCAAGAACAGCGUAGUCGUACGCUCGCUCGAUCUCCUCGCAAAGUCCCGGCGUCAAAUACGUGCUCGAACGAUCCCGCGGCGCGACGUCGGCGACGAAACUCCAAGUAACUCCUUCCUUGCUUCCAACCGGGUGGGAGAGUGAGAGAGAUGGAGAGUGCAGCUAGAAGACCUCUCUCUCUCUCUCUACAUGAAGCUAAAUAGAGGGGAGUGAGGGGUGAUACAAACGAGGGAUAAAAUUACACAUUUAGCCCUCUACCUACCAUCUUGUACCGGUACACGGACUCUUGUACCGGUACAAGAGCCAACCCGAGAGCUGCUAAGCUUCUGCGCGAUGGUUGUACCGGUACAGCCACUCUGCUUGUACCGGUACAGCAAGCAGAGAAUGCUGCAGUUUGCAGAAUUCUUCGCGGUAAGCCGCCCUCGCGUCGCACGGAGCCCGUUUUACGUCUAUUUGACGCCAACGCGACUCGGACUUGUCCCGACACUCUCCAGAGCUGUCGACAAGCCUCCACAGUCAAACACCAGGGAUCUCACAGAUGCAUUUGUAAAUUUAACGGUAUAAAAUAAUUCAAAUCUAAUAAAAUUUUUACAGAAAAUUUUUUUCACUAUUUAGAAUAAGAUCAAUAUUUCUUAUCUUAAAUUUAAGUCUUUUAUCAUUCUUUUUUAAUGAAAUUUUUAUUUAUAGUCGUUCAUUUUAGAUUGCUCGUUUGAUAGGUAAUAAUGUCGAAAAAUUAUAAAAUUUAGUUUCAAAUACUUUCAAUAGUGUAGAUCAAGUCUAAUGAAAUUGAUCAUCGGUUUGAAAGCCGAAUCGCCUCUGUGCUACCGAUAAUAUAGCAGCCGGACUUGUAUAUUAUAAUCACUUUUCCUUUGCCAAUUUUCGAAGUUUUUUUUUUAUUCUUCUGGAGAGAAAUAUGUAUGUAUUUUUGGGGUAAAUUGCAGUUUUGAUCCUCAAACUUUGAGACGCAUGAUAUUUUAAUUCUCAAAGUUUAUUUUGUGACUAUUUCUCAAAAUUUUUUAAUUGUUUUAAUUAAGUUUUGUAGUACAAUUAGUUGACUUAAUACAUUAUUUCACUGAUAUAGUAAUAAUACGGUAUCUUGGUAAUGAUAUGACAUCUUAGUUAGUUUCACACCAUCAGUUAGAACACUAUAAAAUCAUGAGGAAUACUUCACUACUCCAUAUAAAUCUUGACCAUUUAUUUUUCUUAAUAGAUGGUUUAGAUUUAAUAUGAUUAUAGAGGUGACCUGCUAUUGAAGCAUAGGUACCAUUCACCAGGCACCCAUUUAAAGGGUAUUUUAGUCUUUGUAAAAUAGUUUGGUCCACAAAACCGGUUUUAUCCAACUAAGAAUAUUGUGGCCCUCUUAAAUACCUACAACAAUAGUUGAAUUUUAAAUUACAACCAAACUAUAAAUUUAAAUUCAAAACAACAUUUAAAACUUUAUAAAUCAAAUUUAAUUUUUUUUAAUAUAAAACAUAAAUUUUAAAAUAAAACUUUUUGUUCCAAUUCAAAAUUUCAAUUUAAAUCAAAAAUUAAAAUUUGGCUUUAAGAUUAAACGUUCAAUUUAGAUUCAAAUUUAAAAGUUUAAUAUAAAUUUCAAAAUUAAAAUUUUACAUUACAAUACUAAUUUUAAAAAUUAAAUUUUAAAUUCAAUAUUUUUUUGAGAUGAAUAGUUAAUAAAUUGGGUAUCAUCUAAUUUGGUAAGUUAUCAAAGUAAACAAGAUAUUUAAUAUUUAAAGGAUACUGACAAAUUGGGUAUAUACUAAUUUUUUUUCAAUAUUAUCAUGUUAAUUAAUUCAAAUCGGUAACCUGUUCAACAGGUUACUUCGUGUAAAUCCCAACUAUACCCUUUACUAAUUAAGAAAUUAAAUUUUAAUACUUGUGGUGUAUUGAAGCAUUCCUCUAAAAUCAUACAUUAUAUAUAACAAACUAAAUUGAAUUGUAUGACUAACUUAUAGCAAUUUAAAAAGUUAAGCAAACAAACACAAUAAAUUAAAAUUUGGGUAAAAACGUACAUAACUUAUCUGAACUAUGGAUCAUUUUAAUUUGAUUAUUAAACUUUUUAAAAUUUUGAUUUUACUAUCCAAUCUUUUAAUUUGUUUAAUCUAAGUUUGUAAAUGACACCUUGACUUCAAAAGUUAAACGUAUUGUUUAAUCUAAGUUUGUAAAUGGUACCUUAACUUUAUAUAAUUCUCACAGCUACAAAAUUAUUAAAGUAAGUAAUUAGUUUAAAUUUUGAAGUCAAAAUGCUGUUGACCGACUCAAAUCAAACAAAUUAAAAUAUUGGAUAGUAAAUCAAAUUAAGGGUUUUUUAAAAACUCUAUGAAUUCGAAGUUCAUAGAUAAAGCUCAACAUUUCUGGGAGUGUACUCAGUUGGGUUUGAUCAUGUUUCAAGAAAAUUGUAAAAUUGAACCAAAAUUUUCAAUUUAGAAAAAUCUGCAACUGAACAGACCAAUUUAUUCUCAAAUCCGAUUCUAAUCAAACUGAAUUAAUUUGGCUUGGUUCCGUAUUGCAAGUAGUUUUUAGAACUGCAAUUUUUCUUAUGAAUUAAUUCAUAAUUUACAAGCCAAAAAAUAUUACACAUAAAAGAUCUAAUCAUAAAGGUAGAAUUUUGGAAAAGAAUUUAAUAUGAAAUCAAGAUUUCAUCAUAAAAAUAGAAUUUUGAAUGUAAAUAUAUCGUUUAGAUAAACAAUGUGAGUAGUAUUAUUAUUUGAUUUUCGAUUCGGUUCAUUAAAAACAGUAUCAAACCAAAUCGAAAACAAAACUAAGUUUGGCUAUUUCCAAAAUUGAAUCAAACUGAACUGAAUCGAACCAAAGACCAAACUAAUGAAUCAAAUUAUCUUAUUUUGUUGGCUUGGUUUAGUUUUCCGUUCAAAACUAAAAUAUAAAUAUUCCUGAACUUUUGGUUUAACAUAGAAUUGAAUUAAGUUUUUGAAUCUUGAUAUGCCGAAUAUGAUAUUUAUACAUAUAAACAAGGCCUUAGAGUUAAGAAUAUAAUCGCCCGGCCUAAACCUUACUGAGCCUUCUAUUUCCAAAACUUUCAGCCAAGUUUCUUUUCAAUCCUCAAACUUUCAAAUUUAACUUUAGUGGUCCCUAAGAUCUUAAAAUAGAUUCACUUUAGUCCUUAUUUAUAUUUUCUAUUAGAAGGUAAAUUAUUGCCUACACUUUUGUUUAUAAAUUUAUCAAUAUUUUUUCCAUCUUAUAUUUAACGCUAUGCGAUCUAUCGAGUUAUGUAUAAUCUUUUCUCUAUAUAAAAAUUAGAAUGUUGAACUGAAAAAUCAGGGGGACUCCCCGAUUGCAAUAAAACAUAUACUACAUUCAUCAUUUAUCAUAUUUAGAGAUCCGCCGCAUAUGGUGCUUCAAAUUUGGACCAGUGUAUUAAGGGGUUGUUUAAUUUUACCUGCAUUUGCAAUUGAAGUGCACUUGUAACUAUAUGCAAAUUUAAAUUCGGUAGCUGAUUUGAUACAUUUGAAUCUAACAAUUAAGAAGACCUAGUUAUAGUAGCUAGAACUGCACUCAAAUUGGUUACAAUUCUAACUGUAGUUACAAAGAGUAACUUUAAAGAAAGUGUAAUCUUAUCUCCCUUAUCACUUUUUCACUUUCUCGUAUUAUUCAAAAAUCUACACUUUACUCUCUUAAAAAAUAAAAAAUAUUCACAGAAAAAUACCCUGUGAUAAAAUGAUCAAAUUGCCUAUCUUUUUCUUCGAGAUGGGCAUGGAUCGAGAAGUAGGCGAGGGCGAGGGUGAGGCGGCAGAGACGGACAAGGACCUGUGUGUGGGCAUGGACAGAGAGGUCGGCAAGGGUGGGGCGGCGGAGGGUGAGGUGACGCGGUGGAGGGCAAAGUGGCGCGGCCAAGGAUGAGGAAAGAUAAGGGUUUCAAGAAUAUUUUAGGUAUAAGAAAUAGGAUAUAAAUGGAAUCCCGACGAAACACUGACGGCAGAAGUUAAAGUAAAUAUUUUUUAUUUUUUAAAAAAUAAAGUAUAGAUUUUUGAAUAACAGGUAAGAAAAAUGAAAAAAACGAAUAUUGACCGAAAAAUUUCUAUAUUUAGCAAAUAAAAAGUAAUAAAAAAUAGCAAUAAUACUUUACCAUUCUCUACGCACUGGACUCUUCAAUGGCUAUAAUAAUGUUUCCCCUUUAUAAUCGGCCACACCUGUGGCAUGUAGAGAGGGCUCAAAGAGUCUCUCAUCUCUCCAUCUAUUAUUGUUUAUAAGAAGCUUCUAUUCUUGUGCUAAUAAACCGGAGCACAUUUUUUUGCUGCACCAUUUUAUGGUAUCCACAUAAAUAAUGUAACAGUGUACUAUUAUUGUUCCCUACUAUAGCUUUAUAUAUUUGAGAAAGCUCAGAAACUAAAAACCCAUUUCUUAAUAUAAAUUUUCUAAGUUAAUUACUCGGGACUUUUAUACCUUCUUAAUUUUCGAUUUCGGUUUCUGAAUACAUUAUCUAUUCAGUUUAUAAAUUUUCGCUAUCCUAUAAUUCUAAUAUUUCUAAUAUGAUUGGCGAUCAAAAGGCCAAAGGCCUCGAGACAUGGGCAAUUUUUGUUGCUAUUCUCAUCUCCCUGGGCUUCUGCUACUCAGAAAAAGGUAAGUUUUCUCAUCUCUCCAUUUUAAUAAAAAAUUGGGGCUUUUUGUUUAUAUUUUUUUAUUACUAUUGCAAAAUUUUAAUUUAUCCUCUUUAUUCCCCAAAUACCUUUCUAAAUCCCAAAUUUCAUUAGUAAAUUCUCAAAUAAGAGAUAUAUUUAUUCCUUAAUAAAAUUUUUGAAAAUCAAUAAAGAUAUUUUUGUCCGUUGGAUGUAUAUUAGAUAUCCCUAGAAAUAUAAUAUUAAUUGUCCGGUAAAAAUGUACGGGAGAUCCCCUCAAUUAUAGGCCAUUUUAAAAUAGGGUCGUUAACGAUUUUUAUUUUGAUUGAAGCUUUCUUAACUUAUAAUUUUUUAUUUAAAUUUUUAUAUUUAUGUUAGUUCCAAAAAUGAUCAAAUUUAAUGAUUUUAUUUGUUGUUAAUCAUUAAUUGAUAUAGUUUUAUUAGCCGGCAAAUAAUUAAGUACGAAAAUAAAUCUAUAUAUUUUUAUUAGAAUUUUCUUUCAAAGCCUAGUUUGAUAAUUGGGUUAAUUUCAUAUAAGUCCCUACAAAUAUAGUGAAUGACAAAUAUAUCCUAUAAAAUUCAACUUUCAUAUAUUAUUCCUGCAAAAGUCCUCAUAUUUUCAAAUAUAUCUAUCUGGUCUGUUACCGUUAGAUAGCUGAUUAUAUUUUCAAUUUUGUCAUUAUAAAUAUAUCUCUCCAAAAGUCAUAAUAUUAUAAUAUAAGAGGGGUACAAAUGUCAAAAACCAAUCAGGAUUAAGUAUUUAACUUAUGGUUAACUUAAUUUUUUUAACGGAUUCUAACGGCAGAAUAUAUUUGAAAAUAUCAUGAUUUUAUAGAAAUAAUAUAUAAAAAUUAAAAUUUAUAUAAAUAUAUUUAUUAUUUACUAUAUUUGCAGAGACCCUUGUGAAAUUAAUCUUUGAUAAUAUGGGGCUUAGAGUUGAGACUAUGUGGAAAGAACAAUAAUUUUUUGAAAAAAAAGCAAAUUUAAAUUAAAUGUGAAAUUAAUUUAAACUGUUAAUUGUUGGCGCCACUUCUUGCUGCAGCACCAAACUACACCUUCGUGAGGGAUGCAACGCAGGCCCCGGCCAUCUCCUACUACGACUACAUCAUCGUCGGCGGCGGCACCGCGGGGUGCCCGAUCGCUGCCACCCUCUCGGAGGGCUCGACAGUGCUCCUCCUCGAGCGCGGCGCCUCCCCCUACGGCAACCGCAACAUCUCCAACUCCGCCUUCUUCGCCGACACCCUCGCCGACACCUCCCCCUCCUCCCCCUCGCAGCGCUUCGUCUCCGAGGACGGCGUCAUCAACGCCCGCGCCCGCGUCCUCGGCGGCGGCAGCUGCCUCAACGCCGGCUUCUACACCCGCGCCAGCGACGCCUACGUCCGCGAGGCCGCCUGGCGGCCCGCGCUCGUGCGCGAGGCCUACCGCUGGGUCGAGCGGAAGGUGGCGCAACGCCCGGCGAUACGGCAGUGGCAGUCUGCCCUCCGGGAUGGGCUCGUCCAGGCCGGCGUCACGCCGUACAACGGAUUCACCUACGAUCACGUCUACGGGACGAAGGUCGGAGGCACGAUAUUCGACGCGGGCGGCAACCGGCGCUCUGCGGCGGACCUGCUCGAGUACGCGCACCCGGAGAGGCUCACGGUGCUGCUGCGUGCGACCGUGGCGAAGAUACGUUUCAAGCUCAGAGGUGAGAUGUCGUUGUUGGAACAAAUUGGAUUAAUGACAAAGUAGUGUUUGAAAAAAACUAUUGAAUGCGUGUACUUGUUCUAAAUCUUAAUUUUAUUUGUCACAACAAUUGAACUUUGAAUUUUUUUUUCAAAUAAUUUAAUAAAAGCAAUGCCACCUUUACAUUUAAAAAAAAAAAAAGGGUUAAAUUUUACACCUUAUGGUCAUAUUUUUGUAAUUUUAAAAAUUUAAAAAAGAUUGCACAAAUCUUUGGAUUAUGAUUAUAAGAUUUAUACCAGAAAGUUUGUUGAAUAAGUAGCAUUUUUCUUAAUAUAUAUUAUUAUUGCUUAAAAGGGAUACAUAAGUGGGAAUAAAACUUAUGGCUUUCCAGAGUACAGGACUUUUAUUUCAAGUUAUUUUCAAUAAUGUGACGUUUGAUUUGAUGAUCAAUUUUGAUAAAUAUAAUUUAUGCUAUUUAAAUUAUUUAAAAAUUAAAUUUUAUAAUUUUUUUAUCAUCUGCUAAGUGAUUAAUGAGUUUUAAAAAUUAUUAUGUUGGUGGUCAAUGUAACAUGUUUGUAUGUUCAACGGUAAAGAACAUUACAAAUUAAGUAAAAUUUUAAUAGAAAAUUUUAUUUACCAUCAAAGGUAAGAUCAUUUUUUUUAUCUAAAAUUUAAGUUUUUUAUCACUAUUUUUUAUAAAAUUUUUAUUUUCAACAAUUUAUUUUUAAACUAUUUAUUCACUUGACAAAUAAAGUCGAAAAAUUUUAAGAUUUAGUUUUUAAAUAAUUCUUAUAUAAUAAAUUAUUUUUAAAAAAAUUGAUUGUGGCAUCAAAUGUCUCAUUAUUAAAAACAACAUUAAAGUAAAUGACUUUCUUAGUUUUAAAAAUAUAGUUGUCUAGCUCCAUAAGUGGAGCCCGCAAAUAAUACAAAAGAUUUACAUCAUUAUGACCUUAAUAUAAUUCCUGCUCAAAGAAAUAAUGGCUAUGCACAAAAUUAUCAAUUUUUUUUUUAACUUUUACUUGUAAAAUUUAGAUUUCAGCAUGAAAGGACCUUUUAACGACUAAAUAGUAACACCACCAUUGUAUAGAGCAGCCGUAUGAGAUGUGUCGGGCUUUUUGUGAUUGAGACUUUGAUUUGAAUCACCUUUUUUUCUAGUACAGGAAAAGUAAGGCCAACGGCGCAUGGCGUCGUGUUCCGGGACUCGGCCGGCAAGAAGCACCGCGCAUACCUAAACAAAGGAUCCAAGAACGAGAUCAUCGUGUCCGCGGGGGCGAUCGGGAGCCCGCAGGUGCUGAUGCUGAGCGGCGUGGGGCCGCGGGGCCAACUUGAGUCGCUCGGCAUCAACGUGGUCGUCGACCAGCCGAUGGUCGGCGUCGGGAUGUCCGAUAACCCGAUGAACGCCGUGUUCGUCCCGUCGCCGACCCUGGUCGAGGUCUCCCUCAUCCAGGUGGUGGGCAUCACCCAGUUCGGGAGCUUCAUUGAGGGCGCCAGUGGAUCAGAUUUUGAUACAGCAGCCCCUAACUCCCAACUGCCGCGCAGCAGGAAUUUUGGCAUGUUCUCUCCUCAGGUAGCUUUUUUAUCUUAAAAGGUAAUAACGUAUAGAAUUUAUCUGUAUUGUGAAUUAUUUUGAUUUAAUUAUUUAAGUUUUUAUAAUUCUAAUUAUACUUAUACAAUUUUUUAAUAUGUUUGAUUUAAAUAAAUCAACAAUAUUUUGGCUCUAAAUUUUAGAUAUGUCAUUUAUGUUUACAGCUUUAAUUAGUAUAUUUUAUAUAAUUUUCGUAAUUAUAAGUUUUCUAAAUAAACAACUAGUUUAAAUUUUGAAGACAAUAUAUUGUUGACUAAAAAGUUAGUAAAAUUAAAAUUCUAACUACAGUAGUUAAACUUGAAUGUGUCUAUCUUUGAAUUUAUGUACAGCUAUAAUUCUAACGUAGCAACAGUUGUAUGUAAUAAACCGACAGUCCCUAGAGCAAGUGUCAAAGAAUUUGGUGGUUGGUAUCCGAGACCCAAAUUCGAAUCCUAGUUGAUUCACAUUUUUAGCUAAGUUUAAUUCUAAAUGAAAUAAACGAAACAGCUAGCAUACUACUUAUCUCUAAAACAAAAUAAAAUAAAAAAAACAGUUGUAUGCAAUCAAACAAAUUCUGAGAGAGAUAUACAUUGGUCUCUCAAAGUUUUCGAAUACGAACUGCUUUAACAUACAGAUCGACAAACUUUUCUGCCGACUUUGCGCAGACCGGCCAACUGUCUACUGUCCCUCCGAAGCAGCGAACUCCGGAAGCGAUAGCCAAAGCCGUCGAGGCCAUGAACAGCCUCGACGACUCCUACUUCCAGGGCGGGUUCAUCCUCGAGAAGAUCAUCGGGCCGCUCUCGACGGGCCACCUCGAGCUCCGGUCGAGGAACCCCGACGCGAACCCCGCCGUGACCUUCAACUACUUCCAGGAGCCCGAGGACCUCCGGCGCUGCGUCGACGGCAUCCGGACCAUCGAGCGCGUCGUCGCGUCCGACGCCUUCGCCAAAUUCACGUAUGCCUACCUCCCGGAGGCCGGCCUGCUGAACAUCUCCAAGGAUUUUCCGGUGAAUCUGCUUCCCAAGCACCAGAAUGAUUCGCGGUCUUUGGAGCAGUACUGUAAAGAUACUGUGAUGACUAUCUGGCACUAUCAUGGGGGCUGCCGAGUGGGGGGAGUAGUCGACGCAGACUACCGAGUUCUUGGCGCGGAUGCCCUGCGUGUUGUUGACAGUUCUACUUUCAUCUACUCUCCGGGGACUAAUCCGCAGGCGACCGUCAUGAUGCUCGGGAGGUAAAACUUGCCCUCAAUUUUCCGUCUUACUUUUUUUGAUAAAUAAAAUUAAAUUAACUAACUUGCCUGAACUACGGAACAUUUUGAAACAGCUACUUAACCUUUUAAAAUUUCGAUUUUACUAUCCAAUCUUUCAAUUUAUUUGAGUUGAGUCAGUCGAUGAUAUUUUGACUCUAAAAUUUAAGUUACUUUAAUGAAUAUAUAGUUGUGAGAAUUGUACAGGUUAUUUUACUAAAUCUGUGAAGAUAAACGAUACAUUUAAAUUUGUAAAUCAAAAUAUUAUUGACUGACUCGAAUCAAACAAAUUAAAAGAUUAAAUAAUAAAAUUUAAAUUUGAAAGAUUGGACAGCGGAUUUAAAAUAGCUCGUAGUUCAUAUAAGCUAUGUGCGUUUUUAUGUUUGAAGUUUGCUUUAUACAAAGUCUCUUUAUUGCAAAAAUAUCAAUAUCCAAUCAAAUAUUUUUACACAAUAUAAAAGUAUAAUAAUUUUUUUAAAGCAUCGUUAUUGGUUAGAAAUUUUAUAAUCUCACAUGACACAACACAAAACUUAGUUUGUUUACAAUUUCAAGCGAGUUCAUUUUUAAAAAAUACUAAAUGAAGCAGAAGUAUGCUAUUAUUCUCUCCUUAAAAAAAAAAAAAAAAAACCUUAUACCACACGAUGCUAGAGGUGGCAAAUUAAAGUUUACUCUAUGUAUAUUGAACAUGGAGAUUUUUCCAUCUUAAUCUUUCUUUUUCAUUUUUCCAUUCAUUAAAAAGGAUAUCUUUUUUAGGCGAUAAUUGUCAGUGUAACUAUACUUUUUGAGAAAGUAAUAGCAUGAUUAUGUUUGUAACAUCUUUAAUUAAUUUGUACAUUAAAACAGGUACAUGGGAGUCAAAAUCCUGAACGAGAGACUAGGUACAAAUGCAGCAGAGGAAAAACCCUAGCUGUGCUUCUCACCUGCAGGUGCCAUUUCUCGUCAUCGCGAUAAAAAAAAAAAAGAUAACGAAGGAGUCAAAUUCUCUUCAUUUUAACUCUACUUUCAAUCGAGACCACUAAAUCAAUCUUUUAAGAAAGCAAAAUUCUCAAUUAGAAAGCGAACUAAUUUAAAGACUUUCAUAUUCUCCUUAUAGAAUUUUUGCCCUUGAGUUUAGCAAAUUGUGCGCCUGCAUUUUUUUCAAUUUAUUUGCACUAUGAGUGUGUAUAGUUCGAAGUCAGAAUCGAUUUCAGAAUCAGAAUAAGAAUAAGCAUAAAACGGAAUCAGAUUUGGCUCGCCUUGGUUCACCACCUGAAUCGGAAUCGGAAUAAAUCAUUCCUAUUGUCGAGAUUUGGUUCAGAUAGAUAUCAGCAAUGCAAUCAAAUUAAUAUGUCAAUUUUAUCUUUAUAAUAUAUUAGUUUAAAUUCAAACUAAAAAUUAAAUAUUAAAAAUUUAUGUCAAAAUUUUAAAGCGAUUUCAAAAUUUUAAAUGUAUUUAUAAAAAAUUAAAAUUUGAAAUUGAACGAAUAAUUCAAAAUAUAAAACUAAAUUUUAAUUUAUUCAAAUUCAAACUUAAAAUUAUAAUUUAAAUUUCAGUUUGAAUUCAUAAAUUUAAUUUAAAUUUUAAAUAAAAUUUGAAUACAAUUUUAGAUUUUAAAUUAAAUUUAAAUUAAAAUUUAUAAAUUAGAUUCGAAAUGCUUGAUUGAAUUUUAAUUUUAAUUUAUAAAUAUAAUUUUUAAACUUAAACUCAUGUUUUAAUUAAAAAAUAAGCUUAAAAAAAUUAAAUUUAAUCCGAACAUAUUCAUUCCAUCCGGAUUCAAUUUUCAAUCUAAGCUAAAAUAUCAGAUUGGAAUAAGGGAUAAUUGGAGGGAUUCCCAUUUACUCGAGAAUCAGAAUUAGGAUGAAAAUUUCGCAUAUCAAAUACGGAGAAACGGACUUGUCCAUUCUGAUUCCGAUUCGGCGUAAAAAAGAAACGAACUAAACACGCUCUACGUUUUACAGUUGAUAGUGAGUUAUACUAUGUAUCAAACCUAAGAGGUUUGUAAUAUGUUAGUUGUAUUAGAAGGCGAGAAUCCUUAUAUUGAAUCUUUGUUACUUGAUUAGAGUUUUAAAUAUUACUAUGCAUUGUGGUUUUAUUAAUGAUAGUCUUGUUGUAACGCUCUAAUAAUCUCACAUCAGAUGAGAAAACGAUUCUUAUUGGAUUAUUGAGGCCUCAUACGUUAGUAGUAGUAAUUGGGUUUAAACAUUUUGAGUCGAUAGUGUGAAUCAACUGGUUAUUAUUGCUAGCGGCUGGGUCGUUACAAUUAGUAUUAAAGUCGAAUACCAGCCGGAAGUGUGAGAGCUUAAGUGUUAUGUGGAGGAAAGUGCUACACCAAUAAAUUUGGUGGGAACCAUCUCUUGAACUGAUAGGAGCUACCUCUAAAAUCUCACAUUGCCUCCUAUCUUUUGAACCCGUAGGAGCCACCUAUAGAAUCUCACAUUGGCUGAUAAUUCUGAUUUGUAUGUUUGUAAUCUGGAUUUGGACCUGACGAGCCCUACGAGUCCAACGUCGAAUCAGGUCCACAUCAGAUAGAAAAAUGAUUCUAAUUGGAUUAUAUGAAGCCUCAUAUGUUACUAAUAAUAAUUGCGCUUAAAUAUUUUGGACUAGUAGUUUGGGCUCAACGAAUUAUUAUUGGUAGCGGGUCGGAUAGUUAUACUUAUAAUGUAAUUAUUUUUUUUCUUUUUUUUUUUAAUUUUUUGGAUAUAUUAUAUACUAUAUAUAGUAUAUAUAUACUAUAUAUUAUAAUAUUACUAUAUAUAUGAAACUUAUCUGAACUAUAAACCAUCUAAAUUUGGCUACCCAAUUUUUCGAAAUUUUGACUUUAUCAUCUAAUUUUUCGGUUUGUUUAAUUUAAAUCAGUCAAUAGUACUUUCAUUUUGAAAUUUAAAUACAUUGUUUAUCUUUAAUAAUUUAGUUAGUAUAUUUCAUACAAUUCUUACAACUAUAAAUUUAUUAAAGCAAGUAAUUAGCUUAAAUUUUGAAGUCAAAGUAUCGUCUCUGACUUUAAAUCAAAUAAAUUGAAAAAUUAAGUAGUAAAAUUAAAAUUUUAAAGGAAAUGAAUAGCCAAAUCAAAUAAUCCAUAGUUCAAAUAAGGUCUAUACAUUUUUAUUUUUAUUUUUAUUUAGAUAUCGAUAAUGGGAAUGCACAUUUACUAAACCAUCGACGCGAUGAAAAUUUCAGGAAACAAAAAAACUAUUUCUGCUUCCUAAUUUUAGAUUGUUUUUUUAAUAAUUUAAUCAAUAUCAAUAUGUUCAACUCUAAAGAGAAAUUGUAUUAAAGUAAAUUAGAUUAUAGAGAUAUACUAAAAUAAGAUAAAAUUGUGUUUUAAGCAAGAAAAAAUUAUUUGGAUUAAAUAACUCUAAUAUUCUGUCUCUAUUUAGAUUAAACUGCUAUGAAUAUAUAAAUUCCAUAGUAGAUUUCAUCUAUAACUAUUUAACACCAAAAAAAUAGCAUUCAAGGUAUGUUUUGCAUUUUCUUUUAAAAUUCUUCUUCAAAUAAUUAUCCAUUUUUUUUACAUUACAUUUUUUCUGUAUUUUUCUAUUAUGUUUUUAACAAUCAUCUUUUUUCGGCUAAAUAUUAUGUAAAAUAUUUAUUUUCAUUAUUUUUAUUUUUAAAUUAUUAUUGCUUGGUAAAAGAUAAUUAACUUUUUACUUUUUUUUUACUGCAUAUGUGUUCGGAAUAAAUAUAAAUUCUCUCGUAGUUUCUAAUAAAAUGAGAAACACCACCACAUCAUGAUCAUGGAUAGGGGUGUACACAGUUUGGUCCCAAACCAUAAACCAACCCGAACCGAACCAAAUAAAACUAUUUAGUUCGGUUUACAUAAUUUUCACUUCAGUUCGGUUUUCAAAUUUACUAAAAGUCAAUUUUUGAUUUCAGUUUGGUUUGAACAUACCUCUUUAACUGAACUGCAGCGAAAACCAAAUAGUAAUAAUUUAUAUAUUUUUUAUUUAAAAUAAUUUAUUAAAAUUUCAUAUUUAUGAUUAAAUUUUGAUCAUGUAUCAACACAUUUUGAGCAAUUCUAUGUUUAUAAUUAAAUUUUGUGUGUGAUUUUCCAAGGAUUCAAGAAUCUUAAAUUAUAAAUUAAUUCACAAGAAAAAGAAAAAAAAAAUUUAUAAAACCUAAUCAAACAAUUUGGUUUGGUUUGGGUCACUUGUGAGCAUAAAUCGGUUUGGUUCCGUUGUAAUUUUUUUUUUCAAGCCGAAAAGUUCAGUUUGUUUUGGAGAUUUGACUUAAAAACUGAAGAAAACCAAACCGAGUAAAACCCUAAUUAUGGGCCUCCGUAAUUUGCAUAAAAAGCCUUUGGUCUCAAUUACCCAAUUAAGCCCAAAGUCAGUAUGAAUCCAAUCCAAUAAAAUAAUCCCACUGUUUCACACCAGAUAGAACAAUUUUUUCCGCAGACCUAGAUCCCCGUAGGGAUCUGCCCAGCAUAGGGCAGGGAAGUAGAGCAUUUUGUCCCAGCAGGGACGAGAAUUAUCGCUACCUGCUGGGAUGCGCAAGAUGGGAAUACUAUUCCACGCCCCGCAAAAUAUAUAAUAUAUUAUUAUAAAUAGAGCUGGAAAGCUAUCGGUAAUAAACGGACUUCGUUGUCAUUUAUUUGUUUUCGAUGAUAAAGCCUCCAAAUUGACGAUCGGCACCGUUGAAUAUGAUCUAUACUAUUUGAAAUAUUUAGAAACCAAAUUUUGAAUCUUUUUGACAUCAUUGACCUAAUGAUCAAAGGAUUUCAAAAUUUGUAAUUUUAAUGGUUGAUAUCUGGGACGUUUUCUUAUUUAACGGUAUAAAGAUAUUCAAAUCAAUUGAAUUUUGGUUAGAAAAUUUUUUAAACUAUUUAGAACAAGAUCUAUAGUCUCAAUCUCAAUCUUUUUUUUUUUGAAAUACAAUAUUCUUAUCAUCACUUUUUAAAGAAUAUUCAUUUUCAACCGUUCAUUUUGUGUCCACUUGAUAGGCAAGAGAACAAUAUCGAAAAAGUAUGAAAUUUAGUUUUUAGAUGCUUCAAAUGGUAUAGACCAUGUUCAACGGUGUCGAUCGUCGAUUUAGAGGCUCCAUCAUCGAAAACAAAUGGUUGGCAACGGAGCUCAUUUGCAACCGAUAGCAUUCUAGCUCAACUCAUAUUAUUAUAUAGUUAUUAAUUUAUUUAUACUUUUAGAUUACCAACUUUGAUUCUUUUUAAUAUUUGUCAAUUUACUAAAAUAUGUUAAGAUAAUUGUUUUUUAAACAAUAUAUUAAUUAAGUAAUAUUUAAUUGCUUUACAUUCUUAAUAUGACAUGUAAUAUUUAAUAAUUUGACAAUGCAUAUAAAAUAAACUUAGUAAUUAGACAAAAUUUAAAUGGAUUUGAACUAAAAUUUUUAUUUUAUUUUAUUUUAAAUAAAAAAUUAAUUGAGUAUAAUGUUUUAUAAAUCCACAAGUCUCUUUAGGUAGGGAUGCAAACGGGGUGAAUUCGAAGGCAGAAGUGUUCUCCUACCUCCCGCCCCGUUUUCUUGCCAGAUUGUAACGGAUUCAAGACAGGCCGUUUUUUUUAUUUGUUACUCUUAUUCUUGGUACUCGCUUACUGCCCUAUUCAGAAUCAAAAUAAUUGAUUUUCAAUGUAUUAUAUUUGAUGGUUAAUUGCGUAUAACUUCUUGUAAAUAUUUUGAAUAGCAAAUAUAUUCAUAUAAAGUUUAACUUUUUAUAUUUAUUCCUAUAAAAGUCCUAACGUUUUCAAAUAUACCCUGACUGUUAGAAUCCGUCAGAUAAAUAUAGUUAACUAUAGAUAAAAUACUUACUCUGAUUAGUGAAUGAGAUAAAUUGACUUUUUUUUCCUCUCUUAUAUUAUUUAUGAUGGCAAAAAAGAAGAAAGUGAUCGUUGGAGAUUUUUGGAAGGACAUUUUUAUAUAAUUUUAACAGUUGAAACUCUUGAAAUAAACAGUACUCUAACGGUAACAAAUCAGAGAGAUAAAUAUGAAUAUUACUAGAUUUUUGUAAGAAUAAACAUAAAAAGUUGAACUUUGUAGGAAUAUAUUUACUAUUUGAUAUAUAUGUUUAGAGAAAAUUAUAUGAAAGUAACAUUAUAUUCGAAAGUGAAUCAACCAACGCUGUCUCUAUCCUACAGAAGGUUGAAAAAACCUCAUGGAAAGUGUAUAAUAUAGUUUGCUGAUUGUUUUAGCCUUCUUUCUACUUUUACAAACAUUCUGAAGUUCGAAUGUAACAGAGCCGUGGACGCUUUUGCUGCCUUUGGUCGUCAAGCUGGGGCAGGGCAUCCUUUUUGGAGUUCAGAAAGCAUACAACAAUGACGGCAAUCCAGUUCGCGCCCACCCUUCCAUCUGAUGGAGAGGUGAUAAUUCAGCUCGCUGUGCGCGAACUAGCUUGUGUUCGACUCGAAAUAAGUUCGAAAUCGAAUUACUUGUUUAGUUAACAAGUCGAAUAUGAGCAUACAACAAUGAUGGCAAUCCAGCACAUGCUCACCCUCCCCUCUGAUGUAGGGGUGACAAUCUAUGUGAAAUUAAGCAGUCAUCUCUAUGUAAANCCUUCUGAAAGUGGAAGAAGGAGCUGGGAAAGCAAGAGGGAAGAACGACUGGUUCAACGGGGUAAUCAACUCGAAGAGCAGCAGGUCAAGGAGAGCGGAGCGGGUCUUGAGAGUUGUGUUUUAAUUGGAAGGGGCCGAAUCAGCAGCUGUUCGAUAUGGAUUGAGUUGUUUACUUGGAUGUAGGGGUGACAAUUCAGCUCGCCGUUCGCGAGCCAGUUCAUGUUCGACUCGAAAUCGAGUUACUCGUUUAGUAAACAAGCCGAAUAUGAGCUGAAUUUUUUAGCUCGUUUAAUAAACGAGACGGACACGAGUUGGAAUCAGCUCGCUCAUGUUUGACUAAAUAAUAACUCAAAUACAUAUAUUUUAUAUUUAUAUAUAAAUAAAUAAUUAUAUUUUAAUUUUUUUUCGCUUAUUAUAUAUGAACUAAUUGGUGCUCAGCUCGGUAAAUUCACACUAAUGGCGGUGCCCAUGUUGCCAUCACAUCUUUCUUUUGAUUUUGGAAAUGGAUUAUCCAUUUGACUUUGCGGCCUCCAAAUGGGGCAUCCGUGUAUAGAAAUUAUAAUAAUUAUAUUUAUAUUUAUGUAAGUUAAAAUAUGUGUAUAGAAAUUCUACACUGUCACACUUGCACCACGUCAUCAAUAACAAGCCAAUCACAUUCUUUCUUUUCAAACAAAAGUAUAAUAAAAUAUUUUUUUACAAUCAUGAUGGGACAUAUAUUUCUAAAAUGAUACAUUUGAUUGAUUUGUUACGCCACAUCACCAAUAUACCGGUUACAUUUUAGAAUUUUUCCUAAUUUAUAGGCCCACCUUUCAGCAAUCUUUUUGUAAUAUACAAU
RNAcentral lists this long non-coding RNA (43192 nucleotides) under Ananas comosus (pineapple). Its description in RNAcentral is "long non-coding RNA (ACOM_LNC013940)". Lineage: Eukaryota; Viridiplantae; Streptophyta; Magnoliopsida; Poales; Bromeliaceae. The record is from RNAcentral.